GUAUAUGGGGCUGCUGGUCAUGU
RNAcentral lists this non-coding RNA (23 nucleotides) under Cricetulus griseus (Chinese hamster). The record is from RNAcentral. Lineage: Eukaryota; Metazoa; Chordata; Mammalia; Rodentia; Cricetidae.